This 497-nucleotide ribosomal RNA is filed under the name uncultured bacterium. RNAcentral describes it as "partial 16S ribosomal RNA". It matches the Rfam family "Bacterial small subunit ribosomal RNA", at positions 28 to 507 of the family's 1533-position model. The record is from RNAcentral.
GACGAACGCUGGCGGCGUGCCUAAUACAUGCAAGUUGAGCGCUGAAGGUUGGUACUUGUACCGACUGGAUGAGCAGCGCACGGGUGAGUAACGCGUGGGGAAUCUGCCUUUGAGCGGGGGACAACAUUUGGAAACGAAUGCUAAUACCGCAUAAAAACUUUAAACACAAGUUUUAAGUUUGAAAGAUGCAAUUGCAUCACUCAAAGAUGAUCCCGCGUUGUAUUAGCUAGUUGGUGAGGUAAAGGCUCACCAAGGCGAUGAUACAUAGCCGACCUGAGAGGGUGAUCGGCCACAUUGGGACUGAGACACGGCCCAAACUCCUACGGGAGGCAGCAGUAGGGAAUCUUCGGCAAGAGACGAAAGUCUGACCGAGCAACGCCGCGUGAGUGAAGAAGGUUUUCGGAUCGUAAAAAUCUGUUGGUAGAGAAGAACGUUGGUGAGAGUGGAAAGCUCAUCAAGUGACGGUAACUACCCAGAAAGGGACGGCUAACUACGUG